UCGGGCUUAGCGGCGGACGGGUGAGUAACGCGUGGGAACGUGCCCAUUCCUGCGGAAUAGGCCCUGGAAACGGGGUUUAAUACCGCAUACGCCCUUCGGGGGAAAGAAUUUCGGGGAUGGAUCGGCCCGCGUUGGAUUAGGUAGUUGGUGGGGUAAAAGCCUACCAAGCCGACGAUCCAUAGCUGGUUUUAGAGGAUGAUCAGCCACACUGGGACUGAGACACGGCCCAGACUCCUACGGGAGGCAGCAGUGGGGAAUCUUAGACAAUGGGGGCAACCCUGAUCUAGCCAUGCCGCGUGAGUGAUGAAGGUCUUAGGAUCGUAAAGCUCUUUCGCCGGGGAAGAUAAUGACGGUACCCGGUAAAGAAACCCCGGCUAACUCCGUGCCAGCAGCCGCGGUAAUACGGAGGGGGUUAGCGUUGUUCGGAAUUACUGGGCGUAAAGCGCACGUAGGCGGACUGGAAAGUUGGGGGUGAAAUCCCGGGGCUCAACCUCGGAACUGCCUCCAAAACUAUCAGUCUAGAGUUCGAGAGAGGUGAGUGGAAUUCCGAGUGUAGAGGUGAAAUUCGUAGAUAUUCGGAGGAACACCAGUGGCGAAGGCGGCUCACUGGCUCGAUACUGACGCUGAGGUGCGAAAGUGUGGGGAGCAAACAGGAUUAGAUACCCUGGUAGUCCACACCGUAAACGAUGAAUGCCAGACGUCGGCUCGCAUGCGGGUCGGUGUCACACCUAACGGAUUAAGCAUUCCGCC
This 750-nucleotide ribosomal RNA is filed under the name bacterium LAM20. RNAcentral's name for it is "bacterial SSU rRNA". It matches the Rfam family "Bacterial small subunit ribosomal RNA", at positions 86 to 873 of the family's 1533-position model. The record is from RNAcentral.